CCUGCUGCCGUCCCCGCGCGCGGCCCGCUGCUACCAAGGACCUUGACCUCUCGCGGACCCCGUCGCCUCCUUUAGCUCUCCCUGACCUGCUUUUGAACCCGCUAAUCCAGUCCGAACUCUCGCCCCGCAGCGAUCCUUCGCCCGGGCCCGGCGCGCUAAUUCCCACUGACCCCCGCCGCCUCUCACUGUUCUGCAGGCUUUGAAGGGUGCGGCCUUCGCGUGCGGUGCUAUCCGGUGCACGGGCUCAGACCGCCCGGCCUCGCUGCAACCCACGUACACGCCCUGGGACCCAAACUAGCAGUCUCGAGUUGCAAACAUUCUUUCCUUUCCUUUUUCUUUCUCUUGUUUCCCCUUACUUUAAUUCGUUUCUUUAAGAAACCUAUCACACCCACAGAGAUCAAAAUUGUAGGUAACAUACUAAGUUGGCGAGGCUGUUGGGGAAGCGGACACUUUCACACGAGGCUGGCAAGCAAGGAGGGCGCAGAAAGGGUAAGCUGAGUCGGGCUACCAAGGAGCAAGCGCCUAGGGUGACGGCGGAAAGGGCAGGCGGGAGAACAGAGGACAGUG
Molecule: long non-coding RNA, 567 nt
Organism: Felis catus (domestic cat)
Lineage: Eukaryota; Metazoa; Chordata; Mammalia; Carnivora; Felidae
Rfam family: Vax2os1 conserved region 2
Source: Rfam